Molecule: long non-coding RNA, 1982 nt
Filed under: Mus musculus (house mouse)
Lineage: Eukaryota; Metazoa; Chordata; Mammalia; Rodentia; Muridae
Description: long non-coding RNA chr2:97108430-97110412
Source: RNAcentral
GAUGGAGUGACAAGAGGAGGAAAAGAGAAAGAGAAAACAGAAAAACCAUGACAGUGAGAGGACAUGUGUUCCCUACUUCCAUUUAAUUUAAUUGUUUUCAAUUUUUAGUCAAAUUAUUGUUAUUCAAGUGACAAGCAGCUUAUGCCCGCUUAUGUUAUCACGUGAUCUGUCUCUGGAGGCACGUGUACCUGGAAUUGUUUUUUAAAGUUUCUUUUAUGUCCAUAAAGCAUAGUUUGUUGGGGUAAACAAAGGGUUACAUCAGACAGGCUAGAAUGGAAAAUAAGUAUAGUGAAAACUAUGGCAAAUCAAGGAAAAAUUAGUUGGGUCAAAAGCAUCCGAAAUUCUUUGUAAGCACUGGGUGGCUGGGAUGGAGGCAUUGCAGCAGUUUAUUAACAAUAAUAUCUAAGACAAGUGAAAAUAUCUACUGAAAGCAAAUUAUUUCUCACAGAAUGCAUGUUGAUUAUUAGCAAUGACAUGUGAAUGACAGAUUAUUAUUCAUGAAUUCAAGAACUGUCUCCACACUCUUAUUAAAAUCAACUCUUAUUAUUCUUAUUUUACAUGUUAAAAUGAAAUAACACAUUUGCUUUAUUAUUUAAUAAGGUGCACAAUAUGAAUUGGUCAAAUAUUUAAGAAUAAUAUUACGAUUUCAGUUACUUCUUGUCAGUUUGUAUUAUUGCUCCAGUAGAACAAUAUUUACCCAAGUCACAAGUAAACUAUAAGUGGAAUUUUAUAUCCACUAUUAAUGAAGAACAUGGUGUUCUGCUUUUUAAUAUAAAUAUAUAACUUAUAUAAAUAUAAUUAUCUAAGGAUAUUGCCUAGUCUUAACUGAAGAUGCAAUUUUGCUGUAUUUUCUUUUAUGUGUAUAUGAGGAUGUCUGUAUGGGGAUGUCUGCAUGUGAGUUCAAAUGCCCACUGAAAUCUGAGUUGUUGGACCCAGGGAGCCUAAGUAACAGGCAAUUCUGAGCAGCCUGGCAAGAGUGCUAGAAACCAAACUGAGUAGGCUCUUAAUUACCAAGUUACCUCUCCUACCUCCAGGAUAUUCAAUUAAAAAUUGCAAAUUCUUCCAAGGAUCUUCUUAAAUAUCUUUUAGAGAUUUUUUUUCAGUGAAAACUGAAGAGAGUAACAACUGAAAUAUUUUUCUGAAAUGCUCAAUUGCAUUGCCUCCUUUUAUAUUUGUGGUAUUGAUGAUGCUACUGUUAUCAAAUCAUUACUGUGCACCUGACAAUAUGUAACCUCCAGAGCAUAUUUCAGAAAAUAUAUUCACAGACUUUUACUAACAUUAUUAGCCAUGCAGGUGGUACCAUGACCCUUUAUUUACAAGAAAAAUGUAUGAGUGCUUAAAAGAUUUAUCCUUCAGUUUUAUAAUAAAAGAAGUUGAGUUAAAUCUUAAUCCAUGGUCUUUGAAUGGUUUAUUUAAUCCUUUAAAAUAUAAUACAAUUCAUUUAACAUGGCUAUAAAAUUGACCUUUUACUGGAAAUUACGGUCUAAAUUUAAAAUCAUUUGUUUUCUAUAGAACUUUCAUAACUUUCUAAUGUCAUUGGGCUUCUUAGCAGAUCUUAUUCUCACAUCAACGUAAAUGGGUUUGGAGGGCCCUUAUAUGUAAGAAAAAUUUAAUCCCAUAUGUCAAUAAAUAGAUUAUUACAUCAUUAUAAUACUGAAUACCUCUUUGUUUAAUGCUGAUUGUGAAAAUUGAAAUAGAACUUUAUGUUAUUUAAUCAGAAAGGUAUUAGAUUAUGGUAUGGUCUGAGGAACUUGCAUUAAGAGAAAUAUUUGCACAUCUUAGAAUCUAACUGCUGAAGUGGAAAAACAAGACAAGAUGCUGUUUUCCCUUGAUGCUCUCUUUCUAGAGAAUAGUAUUCAUGGGCCAACUCCAAACAACUGUGUACACCAAAAGUAAAUUGGUAAAUGUUUACAGUUAUCAGUAUUUUGCAGGUACACUUAUAGUAUAUGACAAAACAAACAAAAGCAAGAACUGAGUUGAUG